This 30-nucleotide non-coding RNA is filed under the name Mus musculus (house mouse). The record is from RNAcentral. Lineage: Eukaryota; Metazoa; Chordata; Mammalia; Rodentia; Muridae.
UCCAGUUUUGAGUGAAAUUAAAUUCUAAUU